RNAcentral lists this long non-coding RNA (1114 nucleotides) under Homo sapiens (human). RNAcentral describes it as "long non-coding RNA NONHSAT168873.1". The record is from RNAcentral. Lineage: Eukaryota; Metazoa; Chordata; Mammalia; Primates; Hominidae.
GGGCACAGUGAUGUGCACCUAUCAGGAAGCUGCUACAGGAGGAUCUCUUGAGCCCAGGUAGAUAUAAGAUGUAUAAGAAGUCUUAACGGUAUGAGAAAGCCUACUUCCUUUUGUGUACUUCAGUUUUUGUCAGAUAUUAGUUGUUUUUACACAAGUUUUGUAUUGAAGCUUUUUAUAGCUAUAUUGUUAACACAGUAGUGAGUUAAAUAAAAUGAACUUUGCCUAAUAAACUACAGAAGAGUAUGUAGUAGUUUAUUUCACUCUACAGUAUUUUAUACACUGUAUUUCUUCUGUCAUUAAUGGUAUACUCAGGACACUUAAAAAGACCAUCUGACUUUUGUACUCUGUUGCUAGUGAUUUAGGUUUCAUGGCCUAACCCAAAUUAAUUUUGAUCCUGUUAUUCUUUAGUAAUGCUUUCAGCAUUGCUGAGAUCAGAAGGACUACUUUGGUACAAUUUUAUAUUAGCAUAGCUUGUUACUGUGCUCUUGAAGAGCAGUUCUUGGAAACUUUAGUGGAUUAAGUCUUCCGCAGUAUAUGUGGGAAGUUUUAAUUGUGAAUCUGAAGUUCAAAUUGGGGCAGGUUACAGUAUAAAAAUUAGUUAUUUGAGACAAUUUAGAGCUGUGUUCAACUGGAGGAAAAAUAAAAAAAAUUUAGAACCAUGCCACACUUUUCAGUACACAUUCUGGCUGUUUUGGGAUUUAGUAGCACUUAUAAUCAGGUGUGAUAAGAUUAAAGAAUGUCAGAAUUUCUUUUUUUUUUUUUUUUUUUUUUGUUUGAGACGGAGUCUCACUCUGUCACCCAGGCUGGAGUGCAGUGGCACGAUCUUGGCUCACUGCAAGCUCUGCCUCCUGGAUUCAUGCUAUUCUCCUGCCUUAGUCUCCUGAGUAGCUGGGACUACAAGCGCCUGCCACCACGCCUGGCUAAUUUUUGUAUUUUUAGUAGAGACGAGGUUUCACUGUGUUAGCCAGGAUGGUCUCGAUCUCCUGACCUCAUAAUCCGCCCGCCUCGGCCUCCCAUAGUGCUGGGAUUACAGGCGUGAGCCACCGCGUCCGGCUGUCAGAAUUUCUUUUAAUGCUACACAUAUAUAAGCAAAUAAUGUUUUUAAGAAGCUAAC